This 494-nucleotide ribosomal RNA is filed under the name uncultured bacterium. Its description in RNAcentral is "bacterial SSU rRNA". It matches the Rfam family "Bacterial small subunit ribosomal RNA", at positions 15 to 518 of the family's 1533-position model. The record is from RNAcentral.
GAUUCUGGCUCAGGAUGAACGCUGGCGGCGCGCAUAACACAUGCAAGUCGAACGGAGUGUAAUUGAAACCUAGUGAUUUUACACUUAGUGGCGGACGGGUGAGUAACGCGUGGGUAACCUGCCUGGUAUUGGGGGGCAACAGUUAGAAAUGACUGCUAAUACCGCAUACGACAUCCGGAGGGCAUCCUCUGGAUGGGAAAGGAAUUAUCCGAUAUCAGAUGGACCCGCGUCUGAUUAGCUAGUUGGUGAGGUAACGGCCCACCAAGGCGACGAUCAGUAGCCGAACUGAGAGGUUGACCGGCCACAUUGGGACUGAGACACGGCCCAAACUCCUACGGGAGGCAGCAGUGGGGAAUAUUGCACAAUGGGGGAAACCCUGAUGCAGCGACGCCGCGUGAGUGAUGAAGUAUUUCGGUAUGUAAAGCUCUAUCGAUGGGGAAGAAAAUGACGGUACCCAAGUAAGAAGCCCCGGCUAACUACGUGCCAGCAGCGGC